GACGAACGCUGGCGGCGUGCUUAACACAUGCAAGUCGAACGGUGAUGCUCCAGCUUGCUGGAGUGGAUCAGUGGCGAACGGGUGAGUAACACGUGAGCAACCUGCCCCAGACUCUGGAAUAAGCGCUGGAAACGGCGUCUAAUACUGGAUACGAAACUGGCCCGCAUGGGCAUGGUUUGGAAAGUUUUUCGGUUUGGGAUGGGCUCGCGGCCUAUCAGCUUGUUGGUGAGGUAAUGGCUCACCAAGGCGACGACGGGUAGCCGGCCUGAGAGGGCGACCGGCCACACUGGGACUGAGACACGGCCCAGACUCCUACGGGGGGCAGCAGGGGGGAAUAUUGCCAAAGGGGCGAAAGCCUGAUGCAGGGACGCCGGGUGGGGGAGGACGGCCUUCGGGUGGUAAACCUCUUUCAGCAGGAAAGAAGCGAAAGGGACGGUACCUGAAGAAGAAGCACCGGCUAACUACGG
RNAcentral lists this ribosomal RNA (467 nucleotides) under uncultured bacterium. Its description in RNAcentral is "partial 16S ribosomal RNA". It matches the Rfam family "Bacterial small subunit ribosomal RNA", at positions 28 to 506 of the family's 1533-position model. The record is from RNAcentral.